Long non-coding RNA from Phyllostomus hastatus (greater spear-nosed bat), 1223 nucleotides. RefSeq lists it as uncharacterized. Lineage: Eukaryota; Metazoa; Chordata; Mammalia; Chiroptera; Phyllostomidae. The record is from RefSeq and is a predicted model, not a curated record. The transcript is spliced from 3 exons.
GCCCCGAGCCGCGGAACCAGGGCUGUGGUGCACUCGGAUCACGGGCCUCUUAGCCGCGUGCAGCUGCACGGGCGCAGCCGCCGCUAAUUUGUAGCAGGAUGGGGCUCCGGUUCUAUUCCGCAUGCAGGGGGAGAGGGCCUGUCACAGACGGACCUUGGGCCUGGGAAGUUUGUCUCCAGCGUCUGCGGGGGUGCAGCGGCCUGAGUUCUAAGCGCAGAUUGAAACUACAGGUUCAAGCCUUUGACGCUGGAAUGCUGUGAUGCUGGUAUUUUGACUUAACAACUUUCACGCUACAGCUUACAAUGCACGUGUGCCUGUAAUGAGGUCAGGUAUUAUUAUAUAACUUAGUAGCAAUCAUGCGCCCCUGCACCUGCCCAGGAGUCAGUGUGGUCCACGGUGCUGGUGGGGAAAGAGUGGUGCGGCGGCUGCACUGAUUUCAUCUCUCCAUUUCAUCCUCACAGCCCUGAAGUCUAUAGAAACUAUUCUUAUUUUACAGGUAAAGCAUCAGGUUAGGUAGUGGCCUGAGACACAAUCACGUAUGCUUUUGGUGGGGGGAGGGACCCCCAAAAUCCCCAGAAUCAUCAUCUGGAGGGUGUGCCUCUUGAAGGACAGGCUUCCCCAGCUAGGUGAGUGUUCUAGGAACCCAUCUGUGUCAGUGUGCCAGGUGGCGUGGUGAGAGGCUAUGUUCAGCUUUAGUGAACUUUUUUUGAAGACUCAGCGUGUUUUCCUGGGUGGUGGGUGAUUUAGGGGUGCACCUGUCCACACCACUCUGAGUGUUCAGCAGGAAGAGAUGUGGCCUCUUCAAAGUCAUUUCUCUGUUGAGGUUUAGUGUCCUGGUGUAACAAAUAUUUAAACAGACGAGGCCAGUUUGGGGGCUGGGGGGCGACACUAGAGUUAUUUAAUAAUGUAAGUUCUUCACAGUAUAAUGAACCUACAGAAGUUUCCAAAAUUUGGCACAAUGGGAACAUUUGUCAGCAUUUGGGGAUUUUUAAUUUUUUAUUAUUUUUUUUAGUAGCAUAAUGUAAGAAGGGAUUAAAGGAUCCAGUGGUGUUAGACUGUUAGGAUAGGAAAGCACUGUAGGUAAUGGGGAAAGUUUUCAUAUGGGGAGAAAAUGUGACUGCAGCAAUAUGUGCUGUGAAAGAACAACCUAGUAUGUGCUAGAAAUUCUUUCUGUUGUCCAGCUCAGUGUCUACAAAUAUCCCAUUUUCCUGAAAUCUUAAAUA